RNAcentral lists this ribosomal RNA (253 nucleotides) under uncultured bacterium. RNAcentral's name for it is "partial 16S ribosomal RNA". It matches the Rfam family "Bacterial small subunit ribosomal RNA", at positions 524 to 776 of the family's 1533-position model. The record is from RNAcentral.
UACGUAGGGUGCAAGCGUUGUCCGGAAUUAUUGGGCGUAAAGAGCUCGUAGGCGGUCUGUCGCGUCUGCUGUGAAAACUCAGGGCUUAACCCUGAGCUUGCAGUGGGUACGGGCAGACUAGAGUGCGGUAGGGGAGACUGGAAUUCCUGGUGUAGCGGUGAAAUGCGCAGAUAUCAGGAGGAACACCGGUGGCGAAGGCGGGACUCUGGGCCGUAACUGACGCUGAGGAGCGAAAGCAUGGGGAGCGAACAGG